UCUGUCCACAAGUUAGUGAAGCAGUUACAUUGUAUAGUUAUGUUCACUGAACAUUCAUGCUUACUACACAUGAUACAGGACCCUUCUCUGAGGAGGCCUGUGGAUCUUGGUAGAGAAGCUGCUGGCUUAUAUAAACUGGCUUGGGUUCCUCCUUCCACUUCUUCCUCUAUUAGUUGUUCCCCUACUUCUGUUUGUUCUGUGUCUGCUUCUUGUAAUGAUGACAUUUUGUCUGAUAGCAAGGCUGUUCCAUUGCCUUCUGUGUCUGCUUCUUGUAAUGAUGACAUUUUGUCUGAUAGCGAGGCUGUUCCAUUGCCUUCACAUGUAUAUAGUUCCAUUUGCAAUAAUGUUGUUACAACUGACCUGAAUUACAUUUGCCAUUUAAGACUUGCUCAUACUCCAUUUACAAAUAUGAGACAUAUUUCUGGUUUGUCUUUUCCAGAUGACUGUUUGUUACUGGCACUUACCUUCUUAACAGAAUACCAACCAGAUUGCUUCAUAAUAAAUCUCCUCAUGAAAUUUUGUAUGGGAAAGCUCCAACCUAUUCACAUUUGAGAAUAUUUGGAUGCCUUGCCUAUGCUACUGUACCAAUCCCUCAAAGGGACAAGUUAAAGCCAAGAAUCAUUCCUUGUGUUUUCCUGGGUUAUCCUUUUGCUAAGAAGGGUUAUAAAUUUAUGAUCUUGCUUCAAAGAAAUGUUUGGUUUCCAGGGAUGUUAUAUUUCAUGAAUCCUCUUUUCCUUUUAAAACUGUAUCUUCUUCUGCUCAUCCUCCUGCUUUAUCCUUUCCUUUUGUUCCACCUGUAGAACAUUGUGAUGACCCUGAUUCUCCCAUUCCAAUCUCCUCUCCUCUUUCUCCUACAUCUGUGUUAGUACCUCCUCAUACUGUUCCAAACUCUGCUAACUCUGGCUUAACUCCUUUUUUUAAUCCCGAUAUCUCCCCUCCUGUUUUAGCCUCUCCUCCCUACUGACUCUGCCUUAACUCCUUUUUUUAAUCCUGAUAUCUCCCCUCCUGUUUUAACCUCUCCUCCUUCUGUUCCUGCUCCCAGAAAGUCUCAAAUACAACAUAAUCCUCCAUCUUAUCCUAAGGAUUAUGUGUAUCAACUGCCUGCCUUUUCUGGUUCAUCUUCCUCCUCUUUGGAAUCUGAACCUCUAUAUUACUCUCAAGAUGCAUCUGUUCCAGCAUGGCAGGAUGCCAUGAGAAAGGAGUUUGAUGCUUGGGACACAAACCAUACUUGGGAUGUUGUUCCUCUUCCCCCUGGUAAGAAACCCAUUGGAUGUAAAUGGGUUUAUAAAAUCAAAU
This 1296-nucleotide long non-coding RNA is filed under the name Nicotiana benthamiana. RNAcentral describes it as "long non-coding RNA (NBEN_LNC003764)". The record is from RNAcentral. Lineage: Eukaryota; Viridiplantae; Streptophyta; Magnoliopsida; Solanales; Solanaceae.